Molecule: ribosomal RNA, 271 nt
Filed under: uncultured bacterium
Lineage: Bacteria
Description: partial 16S ribosomal RNA
Rfam family: Bacterial small subunit ribosomal RNA
Source: RNAcentral
AACGUAGGAGGCGAGCGUUAUCCGGAUUUACUGGGCGUAAAGCGCGUGCAGGCGGUUCGGCAAGUUGGAUGUGAAAGCUCCUGGCUCAACUAGGAGAGGCCGUUCAAUACUACCGAACUUGAGGGCAUCAGAGGAAGGUGGAAUUCCCGGUGUAGUGGUGAAAUGCGUAGAUAUCGGGAGGAACACCAGUGGCGAAAGCGAUCUUCUGGGAUAAUACUGACGCUCAGACACGAAAGCUAGGGUAGCGAACGGGAUUAGAAACCCUGGUAGU